UUGAAGUCAGUCGUGCUGGCGCGAAAUCAACCCUCUCGUCGAGAGGACACAUGGCGUGGCGAGCCUCAACCGUCACGAAGCGUGAACUCUUGGCGAAAAGGAGCACUUUCGUGUCCGCUGGUUAACAUCAAUUUCGAACGUCAUAAAAAGGCUGGAGGGAUGUGGCUCCUUCGGGAGUGUUAUAACCUUUAGCGGAAUGUGGUGGUCGGGAUUGAGGAUUGCAACGAAUACCUUUAGGGCUGUUCCACCUGGCCUCUCUUUGGUAUCCUGGUGACGACAGCUUGCUGACGUUGUUAGGAUUCGCCAUUGAACAGGCUAGAGUGUGAGCAAAUUCGUUAAGGAUGUUGACGUA
RNAcentral lists this ribosomal RNA (352 nucleotides) under Entrophospora claroidea. RNAcentral describes it as "partial 25S ribosomal RNA". Lineage: Eukaryota; Fungi; Glomeromycota; Glomeromycetes; Entrophosporales; Entrophosporaceae. The record is from RNAcentral.